GAUGAACGCUGGCGGCGUGCCUAAUACAUGCAAGUCGAGCGAACGGGCGAGAAGCUUGCUUCUCUGAUGUUAGCGGCGGACGGGUGAGUAACACGUGGAUAACCUACCUAUAAGACUGGGAUAACUUCGGGAAACCGGAGCUAAUACCGGAUAAUAUUUUGAACCGCAUGGUUCAAAAGUGAAAGACGGUCUUGCUGUCACUUAUAGAUGGAUCCGCGCUGCAUUAGCUAGUUGGUAAGGUAACGGCUUACCAAGGCAACGAUGCAUAGCCGACCUGAGAGGGUGAUCGGCCACACUGGAACUGAGACACGGUCCAGACUCCUACGGGAGGCAGCAGUAGGGAAUCUUCCGCAAUGGGCGAAAGCCUGACGGAGCAACGCCGCGUGAGUGAUGAAGGUCUUCGGAUCGUAAAACUCUGUUAUUAGGGAAGAACAUAUGUGUAAGUAACUGUGCACAUCUUGACGGUACCUAAUCAGAAAGCCACGGCUAACUACGUG
This 497-nucleotide ribosomal RNA is filed under the name uncultured bacterium. RNAcentral's name for it is "partial 16S ribosomal RNA". It matches the Rfam family "Bacterial small subunit ribosomal RNA", at positions 28 to 507 of the family's 1533-position model. The record is from RNAcentral.